AUUUACUAUAUUUUUGUUAAUGUUUAUUUUAUUUCAAGUAACGGAAAUAUUUUUUUAUGGCUUUAGUUUCAGUUAACUAUAAUUAAGAUGUGCUAAAGAUACUUUUCAUGUAAAGCAUCACCUUCCUUCAUCUUUAAAAGCCCCUCCACCUCCUGUUCUCUCUCCACAGGUGAGACCCAGGCCAGAGUAUACCAAAAAAAGUACAUCAGCUAUUUCCGUCUGUGGUUUACCACACUAUUGACGUACUUAUCAUACUUACUCAGUUAUCAUGUAGGAGUUAAGAAAGCAGACAUAGGCAUGUACAAACACACACCAGCACAUGUACACAAACACACACACAUACAGAAAAGGUUCGAUGUUCAAAACUGAUCUGCAAGCAAAAAACUUUGCUGAUGUGUGCUUGUAUCAUAACUCCUCAAGAGUUUUCAAGAAAACGUUACAGGUGUACAGCACACACACACACACACAAAAAAUCAACUCUUAGUCAAUCGGAUGUGAUGGAUCACAUGGUCGGAAGAGUCGUUGUCCAGGAAAUGAUGCUUCGUCGGAAUGGAAACUUUAGUGCGGGCCACCACAACAGAGACACCCUGUGAGUGUGUGUAAACAUCAUGAUGCCUUCUCAAAAACCUCACACUGAGUGCGGUCACACACUCACCUCUAAGUUUUCCAUCCACAAGAUGUCAGACCAGUAUUUUAUCACCGGAUGUUUUUCAAGGUCAGGAGUAAAAAAUAGAUACUCUGUCUGUGGUCUGUAUGUCUUUCCAUCUGGCUGUGCACCUGCAGACCUGCGGAGCUGGUCCAGGAGAGUCGUGUGGCCUAUCAGCUGACUUGUGUUUCAGCACAAAAGGAUGGAUUUGGAAUAGCAUACUAUUCUUAAUGUUUCUGACAUGUCUGUAUACAUAUAUAGUGACACCUAGUGGUGUGGAUGUAUAUUCAUUCAAAUGCAAAAGAUUUCCAUUAACAGUGCCAUUUGUAUAAGCUAAAGUCAAAGCUAUGAUUCAGUGUACAAAAGUGUUCACUAACAGACAAGUCACUGGUCAUACGAUCUCAACAUGGUACUCAAUGUAAAAUAAAAAAGCUUUUAUUAAGCUACUGUUUGUGUUCAUUUCAUGUAAAUGCACAUCUUGUUAAAAACAUCACUGAGUGCAUCUUUAAAUUUCUGUAAUACCAUAAGGAAUUAUUCUGAGGACAUGAACACAGUUUUUCAGUAAAAAGAAUAAUCAUUUAUAAACAUGCUAGACUCAAAAAUAGUGUUUUUUUUUAGAUUUAGACUUACAUACUCCUUGUUGAAAGCGCGCGCGCGCACACACACACACACACACACACACACACUCCUGCAGGAAGAGUGGGUGUCUGGGAGCAGCUGCAUGGGAGAGAUGUCGAAUGUGGUUUCCUCCCAAUGAACCUUUCCUCCCUAUGUCUUAUCAGUCGAACAGAAAGGUGAAUAUGCUGUGAAAUGCAACCAGGUUAGUAACAUUUAUCAGUGAGAUCUCUGUCAGAGAAAUAAACAGCUGAAUUUCCACAGGAGAGCUCCUAGAAAGACAAAGACAGAAUCAUUAUUUAUAAUUACAAAUCACAUUUUAGUUGAAUUAAUUCAGGACUAUUAAUAUUCAAAGCUAUUAAUAUUUUUCAUUCAAACUUUAGAUGUCAUUGAAACUGCAACGUGUAUGUAAGGGUAAAGGUCAUGGCUGGGUUUUCCCUGAGAAAAAAGCAUCUGAUGACACUGUUAGGAAGGUCCCUCAUUCACCCAUUUCCAAAUACUCAAUUCACUAAAUUCUACACAACCCCUGCAACUUGAUUAUUAAAUGUUUUAGCUGAUUUGAUAAUGCUUUCUGACCCAUAUGAGUGUAGUACUGCUCUGUUUAACAUAUUUAACCAUGUUAAAUAUGAUAGAAAUAAAGUUGUAGCAAAAAAAUGCUAUAAAACGCCACAUAUUGCAUCUCAGCUAGUUCAUCGGUGACUAAUCAAGAGAUUUUUGUGAUUUUUUCCCCAUGUGUAACUAUGUUUUUUAAGUACAUACAAAAUGAAUGCGUGACACUUUGCAAUAAGGUUUUGUAGGUUAAUGUUCAUUUUUACAUACACUAAUACAGUUUUAUUAUUUCAAGGUGGUUGAUUGUGAUUUUUGCCUCUUAUGUAACUGUUUAUGUGUUUUUUUUUAUAGUGCAUACAGUUAA
Molecule: long non-coding RNA, 2174 nt
Organism: Cyprinus carpio carpio
Lineage: Eukaryota; Metazoa; Chordata; Actinopteri; Cypriniformes; Cyprinidae
Source: Ensembl